This 408-nucleotide ribosomal RNA is filed under the name Burkholderia sp. LGI-P2E. Its description in RNAcentral is "bacterial SSU rRNA". It matches the Rfam family "Bacterial small subunit ribosomal RNA", at positions 991 to 1387 of the family's 1533-position model. Lineage: Bacteria; Pseudomonadati; Pseudomonadota; Betaproteobacteria; Burkholderiales; Burkholderiaceae. The record is from RNAcentral.
CGGAAUCCUGCAUCACAGGUGGUNAUGCUACUGACAAGAGUAACCGGCGCACAGGUGCUUCAUGGCUGUCGUCAGCUCGAUGUCGUGAGAUGUUGGGUUAAGUCCCGCAACGAAUUGGCAACCCUUGUUCCUUUAGUUGCUACGCAAGAGCACUCUAAGGAGACUGCCGGUGACAAACCGGAGGAAGUGGGGAUGACGUCAAGUCCUCAUGGCCCUUAUGGGUAGGGCUUCACACGUCAUACAAUGGUCGGAACAGAGGGUUGCCAACCCGCGAGGGGGAGCUAAUCCCAGAAUAACCGAUCGUAGUCCGGAUUGCACUCUGCAACUCGAGUGCAUGAAGCUGGAAUCGCUAGUAAUCGCGGAUCAGCAUGCCGCGGUGAAUACGUUCCCGGGUCUUGUACACCACCG